UGGCGUGGGGCGGCUACCAUGCGGUCGAGCGGGGAUAGGGUGCUUGCACCUGAUUCCUAGCGGCGGACGGGUGAGUAAUGCUUAGGAAUCUGCCUAUUAGUGGGGGACAACGUUCCGAAAGGGACGCUAAUACCGCAUACGUCCUACGGGAGAAAGCAGGGGAUCUUCGGACCUUGCGCUAAUAGAUGAGCCUAAGUCGGAUUAGCUAGUUGGUGGGGUAAAGGCCUACCAAGGCGACGAUCUGUAGCGGGUCUGAGAGGAUGAUCCGCCACACUGGGACUGAGACACGGCCCAGACUCCUACGGGAGGCAGCAGUGGGGAAUAUUGGACAAUGGGGGGAACCCUGAUCCAGCCAUGCCGCGUGUGUGAAGAAGGCCUUUUGGUUGUAAAGCACUUUAAGCGAGGAGGAGGCUUACCUGGUUAAUACCUGGGAUAAGUGGACGUUACUCGCAGAAUAAGCACCGGCUAACUCUGUGCCAGCAGCCGCGGUAAUACAGAGGGUGCAAGCGUUAAUCGGAUUUACUGGGCGUAAAGCGCGCGUAGGUGGCUAAUUAAGUCAAAUGUGAAAUCCCCGAGCUUAACUUGGGAAUUGCAUUCGAUACUGGUUAGCUAGAGUAUGGGAGAGGAUGGUAGAAUUCCAGGUGUAGCGGUGAAAUGCGUAGAGAUCUGGAGGAAUACCGAUGGCGAAGGCAGCCAUCUGGCCUAAUACUGACACUGAGGUGCGAAAGCAUGGGGAGCAAACAGGAUUAGAUACCCUGGUAGUCCAUGCCGUAAACGAUGUCUACUAGCCGUUGGGGCCCUUGAGGCUUUAGUGGCGCAGCUAACGCGAUAAGUAGACCGCCUGGGGAGUACGGUCGCAAGACUAAAACUCAAAUGAAUUGACGGGGGCCCGCACAGCGGUGGAGCAUGUGGUUUAAUUCGAUGCAACGCGAAGAACCUUACCUGGCCUUGACAUACAGAGAACUUUCCAGAGAGAUGGAUUGGUGCCUUCGGGAACCCC
RNAcentral lists this ribosomal RNA (1000 nucleotides) under Acinetobacter sp. R214A7. RNAcentral's name for it is "bacterial SSU rRNA". It matches the Rfam family "Bacterial small subunit ribosomal RNA", at positions 37 to 1030 of the family's 1533-position model. Lineage: Bacteria; Pseudomonadati; Pseudomonadota; Gammaproteobacteria; Moraxellales; Moraxellaceae. The record is from RNAcentral.